This is a non-coding RNA of Potamilus streckersoni, 73 nucleotides long. Lineage: Eukaryota; Metazoa; Mollusca; Bivalvia; Unionida; Unionidae. The record is from the annotation of a GenBank genome assembly.
GGCCAUGUGGCUCAGUUGGUUGAGCAUCAGAUUUGUAAUCCAAAGGUUAUGGGUUUGAUAUCCACCCAAGCCA